GAUAGAGAAUAAAUAAAAGUAAAACAAAAAAAUCAAAUAUGAAUGGCAAAGCGUUCAAUACAGAAGUGAGUGAGCAGGGAUAGGAAUUAAAGAGAGAAUUUUUCCAUUAACAGCUUAAAACAUUAGGUGUAUCGAGAAGAAUUCAUCUAUUAUAUUAUCCCAGCAACAAAAGCACUCUGCUAAAUACUCCCACAAAGUAGCAACAUCUAAAUUUCCAUGCUAUUUGUAUAGCAUAAAACUACCUUCCAACAGUUAACAAUAGCCUAUCACUGAUGCAGAAAUUUGACACUAAAGAGAUCAUAUAAUCUGUUAAAGACUUGCAACACCCAAAACGACGCCAAUGAGAACUUUAAACAUUAAUGAAAUGUAAUGGCAAAAUA
RNAcentral lists this unclassified non-coding RNA (380 nucleotides) under Hevea brasiliensis (rubber tree). Lineage: Eukaryota; Viridiplantae; Streptophyta; Magnoliopsida; Malpighiales; Euphorbiaceae. The record is from RNAcentral.